RNAcentral lists this unclassified non-coding RNA (317 nucleotides) under uncultured fungus. RNAcentral describes it as "partial contains small subunit ribosomal RNA, internal transcribed spacer 1, and 5.8S ribosomal RNA". The stretch from base 1 to 73 matches the Rfam family "Eukaryotic small subunit ribosomal RNA", at positions 1759 to 1831 of the family's 1831-position model. Lineage: Eukaryota; Fungi. The record is from RNAcentral.
ACAAACUUGGUCAUUUAGAGGAAGUAAAAGUCGUAACAAGGUUUCCGUAGGUGAACCUGCGGAAGGAUCAUUAUCGAUUCAAAACGGGGCUGCAAGAGGAUGUGCUGGCCCCCCUCUUCCAAAGGGGGAGGGCAGCGUGCACUCUCCUUCCCCCAACUUUUGUUGACCCUGUGCACCCUUUGUAGGCGGAGCAUGUCUUCGCCUACGCAUUUUUUGUUCAAAAACUCUUUGUAAUCGAGACUUUUAUGUGAAUGUGAUCAUAUUGAACAACUUUCAACAAUGGAUCUCUUGGCUCUCGCAUCGAUGAAGAACGCAGC